UUAAAAGUAAAUAGGAGCGAGCCUCCAAAGCAUCAGGAAAUAUCCGGCGAUUUACAGAGCUGCAGUUUAAUUGCAAUCAGAGUUUUACCUCUAGUAUUACUUCAGGAAAAUCAAGUUCAACCUGGAUUGCAAGUUUUCAGGACGUCAUCCUGGACGGACAAGCAGAAUAUAGAUUCUUGCGUAUUUGUUAGGAGGCGUUAUCAUCUUUCAAUGGGGCGAGACACAAGGUCACCGUCUUCUGCUGCCUCAAAUAUUCUCAGCAAAGAGCUUCAAUUUACGAUUUAUUUUGUUCGGGUUCACCACUGUCAGAUUCUUUGGCACUGCGAACUAUCACACCCAAAACCAUGCAGGCUUGACUUUGCAAGAGAUUUAACAAUAUAUUUCACUAGAACGGUCCGGUCGCUUAUAGAGUGGCAAUAUCUGUUUUUCAGUGGUUAUGAUAGGAAAAUAAUGAUGACAGCGUUGUCGAACGUCCUUGAGCACCGUGUGACUAACAAUGACACGAGAUUGAACGAGAUCACAGUCAAAGGCGGCGUUAGAACGAGAAGCAAAUUUCUCACGCUACCUUUUCAGUGGACUAUCAUUCCUGUGCUUGUCACAAUUGUGAAAUUUUGUAAAUGAAUUGUCGGCUGAUGUGGAAGCAAUUGCCGUGAAAAAUGACACCGAGG
Venturia canescens is the source of this 668-nucleotide long non-coding RNA. RefSeq lists it as uncharacterized. The record is from RefSeq and is a predicted model, not a curated record. The transcript has 5 exons. Lineage: Eukaryota; Metazoa; Arthropoda; Insecta; Hymenoptera; Ichneumonidae.